AUUGAACGCUGGCGGCAGGCCUAACACAUGCAAGUCGAACGGCAGCACAGUAAGGGUUUGCGUUUACCGGUCGCGAGUGGCGGGCGGGUGAGGUAUACAGCGGAAUCCACUUUUGCGUGGGGGAAAUCGUAGGAAAGCUAGCGCUAACACCACAUACGACCUACGGGAGAAAGCAGGAGAUCCUCGGACCUUGCGAGCAUGUAUGAGCAGAUGUCGGAUUAGCUAGUGGGCGGGGUAAAGGCUCACCAAGGCGACGAUCCGUAGCUGGUCUGAGAGGAUGACCAGCCACACUGGAACUGAGACACGGUCCAGACUCCUACGGGAGGCAGCAGUGGGGAAUAUUGGACAAUGGGCGCAAGCCUGAUCCAGCCAUGCCGCGUGGGUGAAGAAGGCCUUCGGGUUGUAAAGCCCUUUUAUUGGGAAAGAAAAGAGGCAGGUUAAUACCUCGCUGUUCUGACGUUACCCAAAGAAUAAGCACCGGCUAACUUCGUG
Molecule: ribosomal RNA, 492 nt
Filed under: uncultured bacterium
Lineage: Bacteria
Description: partial 16S ribosomal RNA
Rfam family: Bacterial small subunit ribosomal RNA
Source: RNAcentral